ACGACUCUCGACAACGGAUAUCUCGGCUCUCGCAUCGAUGAAGAACGUAGCGAAAUGCGAUACUUGGUGUGAAUUGCAGAAUCCCGUGAACCAUCGAGUCUUUGAACGCAAGUUGCGCCCGAAGCCAUUAGGCUGAGGGCACGUCUGCCUGGGUGUCACGCAU
This 163-nucleotide ribosomal RNA is filed under the name Bilacunaria aksekiensis. RNAcentral's name for it is "5.8S ribosomal RNA". It matches the Rfam family "5.8S ribosomal RNA". From Rfam's summary of the family: 5.8S ribosomal RNA (5.8S rRNA) is a component of the large subunit of the eukaryotic ribosome. The record is from RNAcentral. Lineage: Eukaryota; Viridiplantae; Streptophyta; Magnoliopsida; Apiales; Apiaceae. RNAcentral also lists the same sequence under 2 other names.